AUUUUCCCCUCUUGGCCAGCCCCUCUUUUGCUCUCAAAUCCUUGCUCUUUCUUUUGCAAAAUAGUCUCAGAAGAGAUCCCGGGUUUAAUUUUUUUGGGGGAUUUAGUUUCAAGUCUUUCGCAGUAUCGAAUCCUUUGUUGUUCGGCGUUUUGUUCUCAUCUUGCGGUCGUCGGGGCAGCAGCUUUAAGGUUUUGACAAGUUUUUUGUGAAAUUGGUGACUAAUGGUAUGCUGCCUCUUUAGAUUGUCGGCAAUCAAAUUAUACUGAGCUUGGGUAUGUUUAAAACAACUGUCUGAUUUUCGAUUCUAAGUUUGUAGCUUCAAUUUCCAUAUAAAGUUUCCAUUUUUCAUGAUUUCUUGAAUUUGGGUUUUAAACAAUGGAAAUACUGCCAGAUUCUUAUCAUUAUGUGCAAAUUACUGGUGAUUUGGACUGGUGCCUGACAUUUAGAGAAUGGCUCGCAGCUUUAAUUUCUUUUUCCUUCAUUAUUACUGUUUUCAAAAUUUAUACUGCUGGGUAUUGAUAAUUUGUAGUCUGUGAGGGCUUCAGUCUGUUGGAAUUUUGAAUGGUUAUUACUUCAUCGGAAUUUGGGUGGUCCAACUUUUGAAUUAGAAGAAACCCAUUUGAUUAAUAUUUUUGGUGGAUUGGCUCUCUGUGCUUUCUCUGUUAUUUCUUCCCCAGUUGAAAAGUGGAAGCCCCAACUUUAAGCUCAGAGCUUGAAUUUCUCAAUCAUUCGUUUCUCUGCACUCUCAUCAGUCACUCGAUCCUCUCUCUGAGGAACUGGGUAAUUUUCCAGCUCUAUCAAGUAAUACUCCAUUUAAUUGCUUAAUUGAGGUUUUUUGUUUCUCCUUUUCGCUCUUUCAUCAGUUCAUUGGCUUUGAUGUUGGGCCUAAGUAAAUGGGAAAUCAUUAAUUGGCAUUGUUCAAGAUAUAAUUCUGUGUUUUUGGAUUUGUGAAACGAUUUGGCUAAUGAAGAGAGUGGUUUUUUGUAUAUAGAUUACACACAUGUGGGGUGAUCUAUCUUUCCUAAUAAAUUUCCCAUCUGUUUCAGGUAUAAAUUUUUCUUAUCUAUUUGCAAACAAGUUUUGAUUUUGUAUUAUUUACAUUCCUGCCAUUGCCAAAAAGCAUGGGCUGCAGAGACAAAGAGAGGGAGAUAGGCGGGGGAUGGCAGGGAGGGGAAGGGAGAGGGAGGAGUGAGGUUGCCAUAAAAGGAGGUUAAGGUUGAUUUUUUGUCCUCAAAUCAAGGGUUGAUGUUGGGAUUGAGGGAUGGGUUGAAAUUGCCACUAGAAGCCUAAAUUAAUGGGUAGCUAUCGGUGAUUGAGAGAUUGAUUUGAGAAGGAUGAGAGAGAGACAGAAAGACACCCACUGCUUUCAUUCGUGCUUGAUUUCAGAUUUGCUCCAAUAUCUGUGCUUAGUAAUAUUUCUGCAAUUUGUGUUAUGCUUUCGCUCCAAUACCUCAUGUCUAUUAAUUUUUGUGCAAUUUUGGUGUUUGUGUGUCUCUGUCUUUAUGGUUCUUAUAUCGUUGAAAUCAUGUUCACUUAUUGUGUAUUGCUCAAAUACCUCUAUUGGCUUCUGCGGAGAGGUUCGAGUUCUUUACCGAACUGAUUUCAUGUCAAUUCUAUCUCAUAUUUCUAAUGGUUUUGAUUAGUUCUUAUUAUCCCUUCACUGUAUUCAAAGAUCAAUUGUUGUUUAUUAGUGUUUGUGCAAAUUGGACGGAACUGAUGUUUCUAUGUUUCUUCUUAGAUUCAACUGAUAUCAUGGUAAUUCUGCACCUGACCUCUAUUGCGUAUCUUAAUUUAUAAUCCUUUCACUUACUCAUAGCCAAUCGUUGGAGCUUGGUACUAAAUCAGGUGAAUUACAAAUGUAAGAUCCUCUAAUUUCAUCUUUUGUGGUUUCAGCAAAGAUAAUGAAUCUUCAUAAAGCAUCUAUUUUUUUGCAGCAUAAUUCAGUUUCUCAGUUCAGUUUUCAGGUGUAGGUUAUCCUCAUUUUCCAGUUCCAUCAGGGACUACAGGUGUUUAUUUUGGUGUCUUUCUUCAGUUCUAAGUCCUUCGCAUGAAUGUGUGCUGAAAUGUAAUGUAAAAAACUAGUAUGUGCUACUUCUCAGUUUUCUAUUUAUAUGUUUUUGGAAUUUUCGGGUGAUGGAAAUCAACCUGGGUUCAUGUUAAAACGAUAUCAUAAUUUUCGUUAUGGUAAGAACUCAGAACUUAGAACCUUUUUUUCCUUUAUCUUUUCCCUUUUUGAAGUUAAGGAAUUGAAUUACUUUUCUAUACCUUUUUGUGAUCAUUCACUGAUAAUUUGUUAAUUGUUUUAAUAUAUAUGACGUUGGAUUUCU
Pyrus x bretschneideri (Chinese white pear) is the source of this 2327-nucleotide long non-coding RNA. RefSeq lists it as uncharacterized. The transcript has 2 exons. The record is from RefSeq and is a predicted model, not a curated record. NCBI's taxonomy places the organism in Eukaryota, Viridiplantae, Streptophyta, Magnoliopsida, Rosales, Rosaceae.